RNAcentral lists this ribosomal RNA (245 nucleotides) under uncultured Desulfomonile sp. RNAcentral describes it as "partial 16S ribosomal RNA". It matches the Rfam family "Bacterial small subunit ribosomal RNA", at positions 524 to 768 of the family's 1533-position model. The record is from RNAcentral. Lineage: Bacteria; Pseudomonadati; Thermodesulfobacteriota; Desulfomonilia; Desulfomonilales; Desulfomonilaceae.
GACGGAGGGUGCAAGCGUUGUUCGGAUUGGCUGGGCGUAAAGGGCGUGUAGGCGGUUGGUCAAGUCGGGUGUGAAAGCCCGGAGCUCAGCUCCGGAAGUGCAUCCGAAACUAGCCAGCUAGAGCGCGAUAGAGGAGGGUGGAAUUCCUGGUGUAGCGGUGAAAUGCGUAGAUAUCAGGAGGAACACCGGCGGCGAAGGCGGCCCUCUGGAUCGUUGCUGACGCUGAGACGCGAAGGCGUGGGGAG